ACCCUUCAGCUCAUGAGUGUGAUGAUUGGGUGUUCAUGCACUAAUGUGAGAUGUGCCUCCCUCUAAACCUUGCUAUGACAUCCACACAUUACCCAUGUGACA
This is a non-coding RNA of Ictidomys tridecemlineatus (thirteen-lined ground squirrel), 102 nucleotides long. The record is from Rfam. Lineage: Eukaryota; Metazoa; Chordata; Mammalia; Rodentia; Sciuridae.